RNAcentral lists this ribosomal RNA (497 nucleotides) under uncultured bacterium. RNAcentral's name for it is "partial 16S ribosomal RNA". It matches the Rfam family "Bacterial small subunit ribosomal RNA", at positions 28 to 507 of the family's 1533-position model. The record is from RNAcentral.
GAUGAACGCUGGCGGCGUGCCUAAUACAUGCAAGUCGAGCGAACAGACGAGGAGCUUGCUCCUCUGACGUUAGCGGCGGACGGGUGAGUAACACGUGGAUAACCUACCUAUAAGACUGGGAUAACUUCGGGAAACCGGAGCUAAUACCGGAUAAUAUAUUGAACCGCAUGGUUCAAUAGUGAAAGACGGUUUUGCUGUCACUUAUAGAUGGAUCCGCGCCGCAUUAGCUAGUUGGUAAGGUAACGGCUUACCAAGGCAACGAUGCGUAGCCGACCUGAGAGGGUGAUCGCCCACCCUGGAACUGAGACACGGUCCAGACUCCUACGGGAGGCAGCAGUAGGGAAUCGUCCGCAGUGGGCGAAAGCCUGACGGAGCGACGCGGCGUGAGUGAUGAAGGUCUUCGGAUCGUAAAACUCUGUUAUUAGGGAAGAACAAAUGUGUAAGUAACUAUGCACGUCUUGACGGUACCUAAUCAGAAAGCCACGGCUAACUACGUG